UAUCCGGAUUUACUGGGCGUAAAGCGUCUGCAGNCGGACAGGUAAGUUGGGCGUGAAAGCUCCGGGCCCAACCCGGAGAGGUCGUUCAAUACUGCGUGUCUAGAGGUGUACAGAGGGGAGUGGAAUUUCCGGAGUAGCGGUAAAAUGCGCAGAGAUCGGAAAGAACACCAAUGGCGAAGGCAGCUCCCUGGGGCAACCCUGACGCUAAGAGACGAAAGCUAGGGGAGCGAACAGGAUUAGAGACCCUGGUAGUCCUAGCCCUAAACGAUGGAUGCUGGAUGUGGGGCCAUAGCGCUCCGUGUCGAAGCGAACGCGUUAAGCAUCCCGCCUGGGGACUACGGCCGCAAGGUUAAAACUCAAACGAAUUGACGGGACCCCGCACAAGCAGCGGAGCGUGUGGUUUAAUUCGAUGCUACACGAAGAACCUUACCUGGGUUUGACAUCUAGGUGGUAGUGAAGCGAAAGCGGAGCGACCCUUCGGGGAGCCUAGACAGGUGCUGCAUGGCUGUCGUCAGCUCGUGCCGUGAGGUGUCGGGUUAAGUCCCGUAACGAGCGCAACCCUUGCCCUCCGUUAUACGUGUCAGAGGGGACUGCCGGCGGUAAGCCGGAGGAAGGUGGGGAUGACGUCAAGUCAGCAUGGCCUUUAUAUCCAGGGCUACACACACGCUACAAUGGCCAGUACAAAGGGCAGCGAAGCCGCGAGGUGGAGCGAAUCCCAGCAAAGCUGGUCGUAGUUCGGAUUGCAGGCUGCAACCCGCCUGCAUGAAGCUGGAGUUGCUAGUAACCGCGCGUCAGCCAUAGUGCGGUGAAUACGUUCCCGGGGUUUGUACACACCGCCCGUCACGUCAUGGGAGUCGAUUACGCCUGAAGCCGGUGUCCUAGCUCGGAAGAGAGAGCGCUGUCUAAGGCGGGGUCGGUGACUGGGACGAAGUCGUAGCAAG
This 941-nucleotide ribosomal RNA is filed under the name uncultured organism. RNAcentral describes it as "bacterial SSU rRNA". It matches the Rfam family "Bacterial small subunit ribosomal RNA", at positions 542 to 1495 of the family's 1533-position model. The record is from RNAcentral.